GUGCUGUGAUGAUUAUUGUACAAAUAUGUGAAGUAGGGUCUUCACUACCAUCUGAUAUAUGAGAUGAAAUCUUGUGCAUCUGAGCUC
This is a non-coding RNA of Solanum tuberosum (potato), 87 nucleotides long. The record is from Rfam. Lineage: Eukaryota; Viridiplantae; Streptophyta; Magnoliopsida; Solanales; Solanaceae.